GGUUCAAUAGUCAAAAAUGAUUUUAAAUUGCAAAUUUAAAGGUAAGCAAAAGUUUUUGGGCCU
This 63-nucleotide transfer RNA is filed under the name Tomoxia bucephala. RNAcentral's name for it is "tRNA-Cys". Lineage: Eukaryota; Metazoa; Arthropoda; Insecta; Coleoptera; Mordellidae. The record is from RNAcentral.